This 657-nucleotide long non-coding RNA is filed under the name Amborella trichopoda. RNAcentral's name for it is "long non-coding RNA (ATRI_LNC000620)". The record is from RNAcentral. Lineage: Eukaryota; Viridiplantae; Streptophyta; Magnoliopsida; Amborellales; Amborellaceae.
CUGAAACUCUCGGAAGUAUCAUAUGCCAUCCUUGCAUGAACAAGUCAACAAACACACACAAACACAUUUUGUAUAUGUAUGCUAAAGUUCUCUAUUAUAUAUUUGAGAGAUUCUUGUGAGAUGAUGCCUUCACUACUUUCCGCAAGGCAUUUUUGAAUAGGUGCGAUGAUUUGCAUCAUUUAUCAGCGGCUGAAAGAAAGUCAUAGAUAGGGCACAAGGAUAAUUGUAAAUCAUUGGGAGGCAUAACCUCUCCGACAGGAUUAUCCUUACCAGGUAACAAAUGACAAAUAUGCUUGUCCUUUAUGACUGCCUUCCAUUUCAUAUCUCGCAAAUACAAAUAAUGUUCCAGCACAAAUUUGUUUGGCAGAAAAUCUUGACGAGUAGCACAAUGAAAGUUCACCAACUGUGAGUAGCCGAGUAAUCUUUAUCACUUUGAUUAAUUCUCUCUGUGUUUUUCUCUAUGUACUUGUGUAUAUGUGUAUCUGUGCAUAUAAUCAUGGCAGAAUUUGGAAGGUAUUUUCGUUUAUAGGUUAGGUCUAAUGUGUUUGUACUCACCGCACCAAAGCAGAGGCCUGGAACGAGACCCUUAUUGAAGAAGCCAUAUGAUAGAAGAGAGAUUGCGGGGACAGAAUUGAUUAUGGCAAAUACAUCGUUCAG